AUACGGAGGGUGCAAGCGUUAUUCGGAAUCACUGGGCGUAAAGGACGCGUAGGCGGGUUGGCAAGUCAGAUGUGAAAUCCUACAGCUUAACUGUAGAACUGCAUUUGAAACUGCUAACCUAGAGUAUGGGAGGGGGAGAUGGAAUUAGUGGUGUAGGGGUAAAGGCCGUAGAUAUCACUAGGAAUACCGAAAGCGAAGGCGAUCUCCUGGAACAUAACUGACGCUAAGGCGUGAAAGCGUGGGGAGCAAACAGGAUUAGAAACCCUAGUAGUCC
Molecule: ribosomal RNA, 274 nt
Filed under: uncultured bacterium
Lineage: Bacteria
Description: partial 16S ribosomal RNA
Rfam family: Bacterial small subunit ribosomal RNA
Source: RNAcentral